Molecule: ribosomal RNA, 443 nt
Filed under: uncultured bacterium
Lineage: Bacteria
Description: SSU rRNA
Rfam family: Bacterial small subunit ribosomal RNA
Source: RNAcentral
AGAACGAACGCUGGCGGCAGGCUUAACACAUGCAAGUCGAACGCUCCGCAAGGGGAGUGGCAGACGGGUGAGUAACGCGUGGGAACAUACCCCUCGGUUCGGAAUAACUCAGGGAAACUUGAGCUAAUACCGAAUACGGUCGAGAGGCGAAAGAUUUAUCGCCGAGGGAUUGGCCCGCGUCCGAUUAGCUAGUUGGUGAGGUAAUGGCUCACCAAGGCGACGAUCGGUAGCUGGUCUGAGAGGAUGAUCAGCCACAUUGGGACUGAGACACGGCCCAAACUCCUACGGGAGGCAGCAGUGGGGAAUAUUGGACAAUGGGCGAAAGCCUGAUCCAGCCAUGCCGCGUGAGUGAUGACGGCCUUAGGGUUGUAAAGCUCUUUCAUCAGGACGAUAAUGACGGUACCUGAAGAAGAAGCCCGGCUAACUUCGCGCCAGCACGCCGC